UUUAUUAGGCUGCAAAAACAUCAGCCCUUUUUGUGGUCUCAUGUGAGGCAAAGUUCUGUCAACUUACCUGGGCCAGGGCUAACUCAUAUCCUGGGGUCUGGUUCCAGCACCUGAGUUUUAGUGAAAAUGUUCCUUUCCUUUCCCACCGCCACCCUUGCUUUCCAUGUCUCCACCCUCAGACUGUGAGCUAAGUGAGAGGCUGUGUUCCUCCAUCUGUUGCUGAAACUUUUGUCUCUGCAAGGGUUCUUCUCAGAGGCCAGGUAACUGUUUCUUGGGUGUCAUUGCUUCCCUGGGCUUCCAAGGAUGAAUAGCUGUUUCUGAGGAACAACUGUUUGGAUUAAACAUGGAAAUGAGCCUCUAGAAGUGUCUGAUACCCCCUGGAUACUUAGCAUAUACAUGAAAAAGCAACUUGGGCUGGUUACUCAUCUAAUGUCAACUGUGCUGCUAGAAACAAUGCUGGGAGGAUGGGGAAGUAAGACUUUGUUUCUGAAGACAGAUGAUGGGAAGCUGGCUGGCUGGUUCCCUUUGGGAGGGGGGAUGUGGGGGAAAGGGCAUAGAUAGGAGGUCUUUCUUCCUCUGGUUCUGUUGGUUUCUAAGUUAACAUCAGAAAUUCCUAGAAUAUCCCCUUCCAAUGUGACUAUCCUAAGAAAUUGCUUCCCAAGUCCCAGUGAUACACCUGUAUGCUUAAAGGCUAAUGAGACUCACUUUUUUGUCUGCCCAGAAGAUAAGUAGUAUAGUCAGGUCUCUUAUACUUUUAUACUGAUUCUUUUCAUGCUUUUCAAGUUUUUAUUAAUGCCUAUGGCUGUACUCCUUAUGACAGGGGAAACUUGGAGAUAUGAGCUGAGAACUUGCGUAAAUAUUCUUAAGUGUAAGAGAGAUUUACUGUGGUGAACCCAGCUUUUUUUAUACCUAGAAUACUUUGGAGACUUGUAAGCCUACCAUUAUCUACUAAAGAAUACUAAUUGGGGCCAGAGGUCCGUGAAGAAUGGGGAUUACGUACAGAUGAAAAUUAGGUAUUUUCAGCUCUAGUUGAGGGUACAGGGAUAGGGGACAAUGCAACUAGGCUGUGGGUGGGGCAUCCAUUCCUUGCAGUGAUGGUACUCAGCCCUUGUCCCUGAGCUUGCUGCUUCCCCCCUAGGUAUGCGGUGCUUUGUGGUCAGCUGGCUGAGCAUGAGAGCAUCCAGAGGCGCAUCCAGAGUGGCUUUAGCUUCAAGGAGCAUGUGGACAAAGCCAUUGCUCUCCAGCCAGAAAACCCCAUGGCUUACUUUCUUCUUGGCAGGUGGUGCUAUCAGGUCUCUCACCUGAGCUGGCUAGAAAAAAAAACUGCUACAGCCUUGCUUGAAAGCCCUCUCAGUGCCACUGUGGAAGAUGCCCUCCAGAGCUUCCUAAAGGCUGAAGAACUACAGCCAGGAUUUUCCAAAGCAGGAAGGGUAUAUAUUUCCAAGUGCUACAGAGAACUAGGGAAAAACUCUGAAGCUAGAUGGUGGAUGAAGUUGGCCCUGGAGCUGCCAGAUGUCACGAAGGAGGAUUUGGCUCUCCAGAAGGACCUGGAAGAAUUGGAAGUCAUUUUACGAGACUAACCACGUUUCACUGGCCUUCAUGACUUGAUGCCACUAUUUAAGGGGGGGGCGGGGAGGCUUUUUUCCUUAGACCCUGCUGAGAUCAGGAAAUCACACAAAUCUGUCUCCUGGGUCUGACUGCUACCCACUACCACUCCCCAUUAGUUAAUUUAUUCUAACCUCUAACCUAAUCUAGAAUUGGGGCAGUACUCAUGGCUUCGGUUUCUGUUGUUCUCUCUCUUGAGUAAUCUCUUAAAAAAAAUCAAGAUUCACACCUUGGGUGUGAUUACACAUGGGUGGAGCCUGCAAGACCUGAGACCUUCCAAUUGCUGGUGAGGUGGAUGAACUUCAAAGCUAUAGGAACAAAGCACAUAACUUGUCACUUUAAUCUUUUUCACUGACUAAUAGGACUCAGUACAUAUAGUCCUAAGAUCAUACCUUACCUACCAAGGUAAAAAGAGGGAUCAGAGUGGCCCACAGACAUUGCUUUCUUAUCACCUAUCAUGUGAAUUCUAUCUGUAUUCCUGGGCUGGACCACUUGAUGACUUCCAGUGUCCUGGCAGCUUUUGGAAUGACAGCAGUGGUAUAGGGUUUAUGAUGCUAUAAAACAAUGUCUGAAAAGUUGCCUAGAAUAUAUUUUGUUACAAACUUGAAAUAAACCAAAUUUGAUGUUAUC
RNAcentral lists this small RNA (2235 nucleotides) under Pongo abelii (Sumatran orangutan). Its description in RNAcentral is "retained intron". The record is from RNAcentral. Lineage: Eukaryota; Metazoa; Chordata; Mammalia; Primates; Hominidae.